AGAGUUUGAUCCUGGCUCAGGAUGAACGCUAGCGGCAGGCCUAACACAUGCAAGUCGAGGGGCAGCAUAGUAAGUAGCAAUACUUGCGGAUGGCGACCGGCGCACGGGUGCGUAACGCGUAUGCAACCUACCCGUAACAGGGGGAUAAUCCGAAGAAAUUUGGUCUAAUAUCCCAUAAUAUGACCGAGGGCAUCCUUGGUGAUUGAAAGAUACGUUGGUUACGGAUGGGCAUGCGUUGUAUUAGCUAGUUGGUAAGGUAACGGCUUACCAAGGCUACGAUACAUAGGGGAACUGAGAGGUUAACCCCCCACACUGGUACUGAGACACGGACCAGACUCCUACGGGAGGCAGCAGUGACGGAAUAUUGGUCAAUGGACGGAAGUCUGAACCAGCCAUGCCGCGUGCAGGAUGACGGCUCUAUGAGUUGUAAACUGCUUUUAUGCUAGGGUAAACUCGGGUACGUGUACCCGACUGAAAAUAUAGCAAGAAUAAGGAUCGGCUAACUCCGUGCCAGCAGCCGCGGUAAUACGGAGGAUCCAAGCGUUAUCCGGAUUUAUUGGGUUUAAAGGGUGCGUAGGCUGCUCGAUAAGUUAGAGGUGAAAAUUCGUCGCUUAACGACGGACGUGCCUCUGAUACUGUCGGGCUAGCGAGAGAGUGCUGUGGGCGGAAUGUGUAGUGUAGCGGUGAAAUGCUUAGAGAUUACACAGAACACCGAUUGCGAAAGCAGCUCACAAACUCUUUUCGGACGCUGAGGCACGAAAGCGUGGGGAGCAAACAGGAUUAGAUACCCUGGUAGUCCACGCUGUAAACGAUGAUUACUCGUUGUCGGCGAUAUAGCGAUCGGUGACUAAGCGAAAGCGAUAAGUAAUCCACCUGGGGAGUACGUUGGCAACAAUGAAACUCAAAGGAAUUGACGGGGGCCCGCACAAGCGGAGGAACAUGUGGUUUAAUUCGAUGAUACGCGAGGAACCUUAC
RNAcentral lists this ribosomal RNA (975 nucleotides) under uncultured bacterium. Its description in RNAcentral is "bacterial SSU rRNA". It matches the Rfam family "Bacterial small subunit ribosomal RNA", at positions 8 to 974 of the family's 1533-position model. The record is from RNAcentral.